This 970-nucleotide ribosomal RNA is filed under the name Acinetobacter lwoffii. RNAcentral describes it as "bacterial SSU rRNA". It matches the Rfam family "Bacterial small subunit ribosomal RNA", at positions 55 to 1019 of the family's 1533-position model. The record is from RNAcentral. Lineage: Bacteria; Pseudomonadati; Pseudomonadota; Gammaproteobacteria; Moraxellales; Moraxellaceae.
AUGCAAGUCGAGCGGGGAAAGGUAGCUUGCUACCUAACCUAGCGGCGGACGGGUGAGUAAUGCUUAGGAAUCUGCCUAUUAGUGGGGGACAACAUCUCGAAAGGGAUGCUAAUACCGCAUACGUCCUACGGGAGAAAGCAGGGGACCUUCGGGCCUUGCGCUAAUAGAUGAGCCUAAGUCGGAUUAGCUAGUUGGUGGGGUAAAGGCCUACCAAGGCGACGAUCUGUAGCGGGUCUGAGAGGAUGAUCCGCCACACUGGGACUGAGACACGGCCCAGACUCCUACGGGAGGCAGCAGUGGGGAAUAUUGGACAAUGGGGGGAACCCUGAUCCAGCCAUGCCGCGUGUGUGAAGAAGGCCUUUUGGUUGUAAAGCACUUUAAGCGAGGAGGAGGCUACCGAGAUUAAUACUCUUGGAUAGUGGACGUUACUCGCAGAAUAAGCACCGGCUAACUCUGUGCCAGCAGCCGCGGUAAUACAGAGGGUGCAAGCGUUAAUCGGAUUUACUGGGCGUAAAGCGCGCGUAGGUGGCCAAUUAAGUCAAAUGUGAAAUCCCCGAGCUUAACUUGGGAAUUGCAUUCGAUACUGGUUGGCUAGAGUAUGGGAGAGGAUGGUAGAAUUCCAGGUGUAGCGGUGAAAUGCGUAGAGAUCUGGAGGAAUACCGAUGGCGAAGGCAGCCAUCUGGCCUAAUACUGACACUGAGGUGCGAAAGCAUGGGGAGCAAACAGGAUUAGAUACCCUGGUAGUCCAUGCCGUAAACGAUGUCUACUAGCCGUUGGGGCCUUUGAGGCUUUAGUGGCGCAGCUAACGCGAUAAGUAGACCGCCUGGGGAGUACGGUCGCAAGACUAAAACUCAAAUGAAUUGACGGGGGCCCGCACAAGCGGUGGAGCAUGUGGUUUAAUUCGAUGCAACGCGAAGAACCUUACCUGGUCUUGACAUAGUAAGAACUUUCCAGAGAUGGAUUGGUGCCU